AGGUAAUGGCUCACCUAGGCGACGAUCCCUAGCUGGUCUGAGAGGAUGACCAGCCACACUGGAACUGAGACACGGUCCAGACUCCUACGGGAGGCAGCAGUGGGGAAUAUUGCACAAUGGGCGCAAGCCUGAUGCAGCCAUGCCGCGUGUGUGAAGAAGGCCUUCGGGUUGUAAAGCACUUUCAGCGAGGAGGAAGGGUUCNGUGUUAAUAGCACUGUUCAUUGACGUUACUCGCAGAAGAAGCACCGGCUAACUCCGUGCCAGCAGCCGCGGUAAUACGGAGGGUGCAAGCGUUAAUCGGAAUUACUGGGCGUAAAGCGCACGCAGGCGGUUUGUUAAGUCAGAUGUGAAAUCCCCGAGCUUAACUUGGGAACUGCAUUUGAAACUGGCAAGCUAGAGUCUUGUAGAGGGGGGUAGAAUUCCAGGUGUAGCGGUGAAAUGCGUANAGAUCUGGAGGAAUACCGGUGGCGAAGGCGGCCCCCUGGACAAAGACUGACGCUCAGGUGCGAAAAGCGUGGGGAGCAAACAG
RNAcentral lists this ribosomal RNA (529 nucleotides) under Serratia fonticola. Its description in RNAcentral is "bacterial SSU rRNA". It matches the Rfam family "Bacterial small subunit ribosomal RNA", at positions 255 to 775 of the family's 1533-position model. The record is from RNAcentral. Lineage: Bacteria; Pseudomonadati; Pseudomonadota; Gammaproteobacteria; Enterobacterales; Yersiniaceae.